This 31-nucleotide non-coding RNA is filed under the name Rattus norvegicus (Norway rat). Lineage: Eukaryota; Metazoa; Chordata; Mammalia; Rodentia; Muridae. The record is from RNAcentral.
UAGAACUCGGCUGGCUUUAUAGCUUUGGGGU